This 327-nucleotide long non-coding RNA is filed under the name Mytilus galloprovincialis (Mediterranean mussel). The record is from RNAcentral. Lineage: Eukaryota; Metazoa; Mollusca; Bivalvia; Mytilida; Mytilidae.
CUCGGAAAUCAAAUUGUUUUUUUCAUUUCAUACUCCUGUUACCCAUAUGCUCCAAUCCUGCAUAUAAUACUGAUUUCAAAAUAUGGUUGAUUUUGGCCCAUAACUAGCCAACGAUACUUUUUUCAAAUCUCUGUUUACUUUAAUCCUAAAAUGCACCCAUAGGUAAACCAGAAACAUGAGGAGGUAUUAUUUGAUCAGGUCAAGUCAUUUUUGCCAUAAAUCUGUAAAAUUGAGUCAUUUUGUUUGACCUGCCAACAUUGUUUCCGGAGAAAAACAAUGAUGUCAACUAUGCUGCCAGUCAACAUGGAAUGGCAGCUGUAUUUGGUU